This 180-nucleotide ribosomal RNA is filed under the name uncultured Castellaniella sp. Its description in RNAcentral is "partial 16S ribosomal RNA". It matches the Rfam family "Bacterial small subunit ribosomal RNA", at positions 350 to 522 of the family's 1533-position model. The record is from RNAcentral. Lineage: Bacteria; Pseudomonadati; Pseudomonadota; Betaproteobacteria; Burkholderiales; Alcaligenaceae.
AGCAGUGGGGAAUUUUGGACAAUGGGGGAAACCCUGAUCCAGCCAUCCCGCGUGUGCGAUGAAGGCCUUCGGGUUGUAAAGCACUUUUGGCAGGGAAGAAACGGCCCGGGAUAAUACCCUGGGUUAAUGACGGUACCUGCAGAAUAAGCACCGGCUAACUACGUGCCAGCAGCCGCGGUA